CCUACGGGAGGCAGCAGUGAGGAAUAUUGGUCAAUGGACGGAAGUCUGAACCAGCCAUGCCGCGUGCAGGAAGACGGCUCUAUGAGUUGUAAACUGCUUUUGUACAAGGGUAAACCUGAAUACGUGUAUUCAGCUGAAAGUACUGUACGAAUAAGGAUCGGCUAACUCCGUGCCAGCAGCCGCGGUAAUACGGAGGAUCCAAGCGUUAUCCGGAUUUAUUGGGUUUAAAGGGUGCGUAGGCGGAUUGAUAAGUUAGAGGUGAAAUGUCCGAGCUUAACUCGGGAACUGCCUCUAAUACUGUUGGUCUAGAGAGUGGAUGCGGUAGGCGGAAUGUAUGGUGUAGCGGUGAAAUGCUUAGAGAUCAUACAGAACACCGAUUGCGAAGGCAGCUUACCAAUCUAUAUCUGACGUUGAGGCACGAAAGCGUGGGGAGCAAACAGGAUUAGAUACCCCAGUAGUC
RNAcentral lists this ribosomal RNA (460 nucleotides) under uncultured bacterium. RNAcentral's name for it is "partial 16S ribosomal RNA". It matches the Rfam family "Bacterial small subunit ribosomal RNA", at positions 338 to 795 of the family's 1533-position model. The record is from RNAcentral.